AAAAACUGACCUCAGCUGAAUCAGAUCCAGCAUUACUCAGGAGGUCAGCUACACUUCCUUUCUCUCCACCCCAAAACAGCCAGAGGCUGACAGCUGAUUAAUGGGACCAAGUUGACUCUCUUCCUCAAGGCUGGAACACAGAUAUGCAGUGACUCACAUUCUGUCACAAAACAGUGGGCAAUGUCCUAUGCCUGGGGAAAGAUAGGAGGAAUAUGUGUCCCUGAAUGACCUUGUGGAAGAGGUGCUCUACUAGCUACAACAGGUGGAACAAGAUAGAAACAAGAUAUAUAAGAUAGAAGUAGGAUGAAUGGGGUUUCUUCGUGGAUUGAAUGGAACUCAAGAAACAGAGAAAUGAUAAAGCUUUUACUGGACUGGCAACAUUUGCCUGCCACUGGUGGAAAAUUCGAGCACUUUGGAGCUCACAUUUGAGAGUGAAAGGUAAGGAAAAGAAUCAGAACCUCAACUCUCUACUCCUACCCUUGUAGCAAAAUAAGGGAGGCAAUGACAUAUGUGUUCCCUCUUUACUAGCCUCUGACACAGAGUAGGUUUGUAUUUCUUGCACCUUCUCCAGGGAUCAGAAUAUUUUAGGCAUGGAGAUGUAAUUACUGUGAUGUAUUUGAAAUCUUGUAGCAUUCACUUUGCCAAUUGUAUGGUCAUAGUUUAUGGGAAAGGUUGUUGGAAAGAACUUCUCUAAGGAAAAAUUCCAUUGUAGCUUGGUAGGUAAUUACCAGCAUUUUUAUCCACAUGUCAUAAAGAAUUCAAGGAGUUGCUUAAGCUAUCAUUAUUAAGCUAGUGAUAUGAAGCAGGAAGAAAAAUCAACACCUUCCUUUUAAUAACUUCUGUGUCAUGAUCGAUUCUUCAUAAUUAUUAUGUGAAUUAUGUAUUUUGUGUCUUUCCUUUAUUUUAUAAAGUGUUGAUUAAGUAUCACUGUGUUAAAAGGGUAUAUUAAAGCUGUAGCUUUCAGGUAAAAAAAUAAACAAAAGGGCCUGAGACAGAAAGUUCCAAAUAUAAUGGAAAAAAAGUCAUUGUGCUGAGAAAGGAUCAGGACUAAAAACGCCUUCCCUCAGUCUGUCAGUCCUAACUUAGAUUAUAACUUUUCUUGCUCAUGUAUCUUAUAAAGUGUUUGUACAUUUUCAGUCAUGUUUAGGAUACAGGGAGUCAACACAUAAAAUAAGCACAUGAAAGAAAUUUCAUUAGAGGUUCCCUUAGCAGCUUGAAGCUGAGAAUGCACAAACUAAGGGUUUGUUGAUUCAUUCAUUUGCUGCACAGUUCGUUGAGAGCAUGUUAUGCACUGGCCCUGGUGCUCGGAGCAGGGUGUCAAGAGUGAUGCACGGCAAGCCUGCGUUGCCCUUGCAGGGUUUAUGACCCAGUGGCUCAGAAACACAUUAAAUAAGGGAGCACACAAGCAUUAUCUAAUUGUAUACUAUAAUAAGUGCUUGAAAACAAAAAACAAGGGGUGAUCCAAGAGACUAACAGUGUGGGAAGAGGGUAAGUCAAGAAGAUAAGGUAAGUCAUCAGAGAAGACGUCACUGAGGCAGAGAUACAUGAAGGCAGGUAAGUCAGUGCAGCAAGGAGAGGGAACCGCAGCACUCCAGACGGGAAAGGUAAA
This is a long non-coding RNA of Manis pentadactyla (Chinese pangolin), 1609 nucleotides long. RefSeq lists it as uncharacterized. NCBI's taxonomy places the organism in Eukaryota, Metazoa, Chordata, Mammalia, Pholidota, Manidae. The transcript has 3 exons. The record is from RefSeq and is a predicted model, not a curated record.